UACGGAGGGGGCUAGCGUUGUUCGGAAUUACUGGGCGUAAAGCGCACGUAGGCGGACCAGUUAGUUGGGGGUGAAAUCCCGGGGCUCAACCCCGGAACUGCCUCCAAAACUGCUGGUCUGGAGGUCGAGAGAGGUGAGUGGAAUUCCGAGUGUAGAGGUGAAAUUCGUAGAUAUUCGCAAGAACACCAGUGGCGAAGGCGGCUCACUGGCCCGAUACUGACGCUGAGGUGCGAAAGCGUGGGGAGCAAACAGG
Molecule: ribosomal RNA, 253 nt
Filed under: uncultured bacterium
Lineage: Bacteria
Description: partial 16S ribosomal RNA
Rfam family: Bacterial small subunit ribosomal RNA
Source: RNAcentral